UACAGAGGUGGCAAGCGUUGUUCGGAAUUACUGGGCGUAAAGGGCGCGUAGGCGGCCUUCUAAGUCAGACGUGAAAUCCCCCGGCUCAACCUGGGAAUUGCAUUCGAGACUGAAUAGCUAGGGUACGGUAGAGGGAAGUGGAAUUUCCGGUGUAGCGGUGAAAUGCGUAGAUAUCGGAAGGAACAUCAGUGGCGAAAGCGACUUCCUGGACCAGUACCGACGUUCAGGCACGAAAGCGUGGGGAGCAAACAGG
Molecule: ribosomal RNA, 253 nt
Filed under: uncultured bacterium
Lineage: Bacteria
Description: partial 16S ribosomal RNA
Rfam family: Bacterial small subunit ribosomal RNA
Source: RNAcentral